GCCUCAGCCGCGAGGCCCUCAUCGCCCUCCUUGUGGUGCUGGCGGGCAUCAGUGCCAGCUGUUUCUGUGCCCUCGUCAUCGUGGCAAUUGGUGUCUUGCGGGCCAAGGGAAAUGGCGUUUCCUAGGCGUGUGUUGGGUGAGGUCCGGGGGCCCAGCACUGUUCCAGGACUCAUGUUGGCCUUUGUCCCCUCAGUGAAACAUGCCUGAGACAAGUGGACAACAGGUUGGUGGAGAAUUUUGGGGUCCAGGAAGAUCGCAUGGACCUGCACCCGGUAUAUGUGGAGUCCCAGCUAAUGGACGCUGACCUGGAGGUCUCCAUGGUGCCACCACUAGAGGAUCAGCGCCUUGUGGCCAUCUCCAUGGAGGCUUGUCCAGAGGAGCCGCCACCACCCCCACCCCUACCACCUGAGUAGGGCUGAGGGCAGCUGGGGGAGAGGAAUUAAAGUGUAUUUAGUGGU
Molecule: small RNA, 458 nt
Filed under: Pongo abelii (Sumatran orangutan)
Lineage: Eukaryota; Metazoa; Chordata; Mammalia; Primates; Hominidae
Description: processed transcript
Source: RNAcentral